GAGUUUGAUCAUGGCUCAGAGCGAACGCUGGCGGCAGGCUUAACACAUGCAAGUCGAGCGGGCGUAGCAAUACGUCAGCGGCAGACGGGUGAGUAACGCGUGGGAACGUACCUUUUGGUUCGGAACAACACAGGGAAACUUGUGCUAAUACCGGAUAAGCCCUUACGGGGAAAGAUUUAUCGCCGAAAGAUCGGCCCGCGUCUGAUUAGCUAGUUGGUGAGGUAAUGGCUCACCAAGGCGACGAUCAGUAGCUGGUCUGAGAGGACGACCAGCCACACUGGGACUGAGACACGGCCCAGACUCCUACGGGAGGCAGCGGUGGGGAAUAUUGGACAAUGGGCGCAAGCCUGAUCCAGCCAUGCCGCGUGGGUG
Molecule: ribosomal RNA, 372 nt
Filed under: uncultured Alphaproteobacteria bacterium
Lineage: Bacteria; Pseudomonadati; Pseudomonadota; Alphaproteobacteria
Description: bacterial SSU rRNA
Rfam family: Bacterial small subunit ribosomal RNA
Source: RNAcentral